This 440-nucleotide ribosomal RNA is filed under the name uncultured Bacillota bacterium. RNAcentral's name for it is "bacterial SSU rRNA". It matches the Rfam family "Bacterial small subunit ribosomal RNA", at positions 917 to 1359 of the family's 1533-position model. The record is from RNAcentral. Lineage: Bacteria; Bacillati; Bacillota.
GGGCCCGCACAAGCAGCGGAGCAUGUGGUUUAAUUCGAAGCAACGCGAAGAACCUUACCAAGGCUUGACAUCCUCUGACGCAUGUAGAGAUACAUGUUCCCUUCGGGGCAGAGAGACAGGUGGUGCAUGGUUGUCGUCAGCUCGUGUCGUGAGAUGUUGGGUUAAGUCCCGCAACGAGCGCAACCCUUAUUGCUAGUUGCCAGCAUGUAAUGAUGGGAACUCUAGUGAGACUGCCGGGGACAACUCGGAGGAAGGUGGGGACGACGUCAAAUCAUCAUGCCCCUUAUGUCUUGGGCUACACACGUGCUACAAUGGCCGGUACAAAGGGUAGCGAAGUCGCAAGAUGGAGCGAAUCUCAAAAAGCCGGUCCCAGUUCGGAUUGUGGGCUGCAACCCGCCACAUGAAGUCGGAGUUGCUAGUAAUCGCGAAUCAGCAUGUCG